CUCUCUGAAAAUAUCACCUCUCUUAUAUAGGCCUUAGAAAUCUCGAACCUUCUAUGCUUCACUCCCAAGAAAUCUCCUAAAAAUUCCCAAAAACCGAAUCCAAUUUUUACCCCUUUUUUGAUGGAUAAAACAGACAAAUGGAGGGAGUGGAUCCAAUUUCACUCAAUUCAAUGCCUCCCAUUUUUUUUCCAAAAUUCAUCUUAAAAGAGUAAAAAUCCGAAAAAAAUAAAGAGGGCAUGUGAGGGAGAGGGAAUCUGUCAGAAACGGUUAAGCCACAUUGGAGAGAGAUGCAAGGAUGGACCAGCUGACUCGGCGAGUUAAAGCGCCCGAUUUUGGGCGUAAUUUGUCGAGUUGAAGCGAGGUAGAAUCGGCGUGGAUGCUGGGCGCCACUUUUCUGUAUUUGUCUCUAGGGUUAGAUGUAUUGUUUUGUUAGAGAUAGGUUAAGUUUUUAGAUGGGGAAAUGGGGCGGGUCAGAGAUUAUUAUGGUUUGGGCUGGGUAAAAGGGUGUAUUUGGUAUUUGGGCUGAGAGGGAAUUGGGCUAACUUAAAUUCCCAACCCAAUUAAACUACCCCUUCUCAAUUUUGUUUUCCUCUUCUUUUUCCCUUUUUUUUUCUUCUUUUUUUUAAGUAAUGAAAUCCUAAAAUUAAAUUUCUAAAUUAUCUAAAUUGCAAGAUUACACUAUUUAUUUACUUAAAAUAGUUGAAAGAUUACUUGCUCCUAAAUACAAAGAAAAAUCACUAAUCUACAAAUUAAAGGUAAAAUGUAAACAUGAGCCAUUUUUUAUUUUCAUUUUUAUAAAAUAAUUAGUUAACUAAUCAAACCUAAAAAAUAUAAAAACAAAAAUCUAAAUGCAAUGCAUGAUAUUUUUUGUAUUUUUUUAGGGUUUAAACAAAAGUAAACAUGCACAAAGAUGUAAACAAAUAACACAAAAAUCCUACAAAAUCCUAUAAAAUUGCAAACAAUUGCAAAAAAUUUAUUUCUUUAAUUUGUAGGAGUUUUUCACAUAAGGCAAAAGUCACAUGCUCACAACUGCCCCUCUUUGCUCGAAAACACGAAGAGUUUUUGGGCAAAGAUAAAGUAAGCAGAUACGAGCGAUUUUUGCCCGUUUGAAUACUCCGUGGGAAGCAUUUUUGAAAGAUCUGACCGAACCUUGCUUCCGAGGUUGCCUACAUAUCCUUGGCUAUAAAGAAAUCAGGUCAGUGUAGUUCUGGAAAGUGAUGGAAGGAUGAGUUGGAGAAUCGAGUAAGGUGUUGUUCCAUCGAGGUUCCGGUCCGCGGUCCUAUUAUUACAUCCGAAUCNNNNNNNNNNNNNNNNNNNNNNNNNAUUCUGUAUUGUGACUAUCUUCUGUUGACCAUCUCGGACUAUUGAUUCGCAUUCUUGCCGCGAGCUUCUUUUGUUGCUGACUUAAAUUGCAUUCUGAAGUGAAUUCCCUUGUUUUCCAAAUGGGUGCCUGAUUGACAAAACUUGAACUGUAUUCCCUUAUUUUCUAGGUGGGCGCCUGAUUGCCAAAACUUGAACUGUCUUCCUUCGAAACUUGAACCAUUUUCCCUUAUUCUCUAGGUAGGCGCCUGAUUGCUGAACUUGAACUGUCCUCCGUCGAAACUGCUUUCCCUUGAAACUUGAACUAUCUUCCCUUGUUCUCUAGAUGGGCGCCUGAUUGCUGAACUUGAACUGUCUUCCUUCGAAACUUGGACUACCUUCCCUUGUUCUCCAGGUGGGUGCCUGAUUGCUGAACUCGAACUGCUUUCCUUCCCCUGAAACUUGAACUGAUUUCCCUUGUUCUCCAGGUGGGCACCUGAUUGCUGAACUUGACCUGUUUUCCUUUCCCCUGAACUUGAACUGCUUUCCCUUGUUCUCCAGGUGGGCGCCUGAUUGCUGAACUUGACCUGUUUUUCCUUGAAACUCGAAUCAUUUUCCCCUGUUUUUCAGGUGGGCGCCUGACUGCCAAAACUUGAACUGUCUUCCUUCGAAACUUGAACUGCAUUCCCUUGUUCUCCAGGUGGGCGCCUAAUUGCUGAACUUGACCCGCUUUCCUUUGAACUUGUGUCGUCUUCCCUUGUUCUCCAGGUGGGCACCUGAUUGCAAUAAAACAGACAAAACUAAAGAAAUUUUUCUGCCCCAGUUUGAUAUUGGGAACAUCUGUGAGUGUUAACCAAUUUUUGUUAUUAAAAUAAGUUCUAAGCUAAAUUUCCUUAUCCUGAAAAAUUUCAAACCAAGUCUCAUCUCAAAAGUGAAAAACUUAAAUGCUAAAUUAUACUUCCCAAAAGCAAAACUCUCGUCAGACCUUGUCACUUGCGAGGGUCUCAAAACUUACUAAAUCUCGUUAUCCAGGAGGGUACUAGAAACUUACUGUCGAGCCUAUCUGGCACCUGCUUUCCUUACGGAGGGUUUCUCCGGAACAAACAAAAUUUUCUGCCCCUAUUUCAAUCAAAGAAAACUUGUGAGUUUAAACAUGGUGGUUGGUUUGCGGCCUUGACUUUGAGGGCGAUUGCUCCUUCACUUCCCAUGAUAACUUCGAUUUUAACUCGAAAUACCUUGCCUGUUUAUUGACUGUCCACUUUUUCUGUCACCCUUAGCAUGGAAAAUAGCUCUAAUUCGUUCAAAACCAAUACCAUUUAUCUAUUGCAUUGUGCUCAUGCAUUGACAUAUACUGAACCUUUGUGUUUCACAUGAAUCCCAAAGUACGAGAAUUGCCACCCACACAGUGCGCAUGCUAUUCUUUCCUGACUUAAACCACUGGCCUUGGCCUUGAGGUCUAUUGCUCCUUCACUUGCCAUGAUAACUUUAAUUUCCGCUUGGAAGACCUUUCUUGUCAUUGGUUAACCACUUUCUCUGUCAACGCUAUCACAGAAAAUACCUUUGACCCAUUCACCCAACAUCCUCUAUUUGUUGCAUUGUUUAUGAAUUGACAUAUACCAAACCUUUGUAUUUCACAUGAAUCCCAAAGUACGUUGAUUGUUACCACUUAGUGUGCAUGUUGUUCUUUCCUGACUUAUGCCACUUUGAUGUGCUAGCCAGAUCCCGUUUUGUGCAAUUGGAAAGUUAGUGGCAAAUUUUGAAGUCAUUUCUCACUUGUUCUGACCAAACAAACUCAGGAAGAGGAAUUAAACAGGACAAAGGACCAGAGUAAAGGACAAUGGAAAUAGAUGAUUCCUAACAAGAAAACUAGAAAGUAGAAACUUAUCAGAUGUGGAUACCGACUCUAAUGACCAUGACAUGCACCUUUGGAUUAAGUGGCCUAAUCUGUCAAGCAAGCCUAAUGUUCAACUCUUGUUGUACCUUUUCACAAUGAAACUGGGCUUCAAUGCUCCGAUUAUCCUAUCUGAUUCACAAUUCUUAUUCGACUUGUAGUGCUCGAAGGGUUUUCACCAUCAAGCCUCUCUCAUUUUGCUCUUUCUCUCAACUUACUCUCACCUUAUGGUGCCUGUGAAGGUUUUCAUCGAUAAGACUCUCUCAUUUUUUUUCUUCUUCUUUCCUCCGAUUCUGUAGAUGACAAGGCAUUGACCAUAGUAAAAACAUCAUGCGCUCCUGGCAUGGCUAACGCAACACUCUCAAAGAUUAUCUGGGAUGUCUUUUUGGACUGUAAUGUGGCUUUUGGAUAGGGUUAGAAAGGAAGGAUAUCACAAAGGCUCAAAACAACUAAGAUAACGGGGUUAAUUUAAUUACAACUUUUGGAAUCUAUUUUAAAAACUUUGCCCCAAUUCUGAAACAAGGGAGUUUCACUCUCUUUUUUUCCUUUUUGAGAUGGAAUUUCUAAGAAAGACUGCCCCACUCUCGACUUCGUGGGAUUACAAAAUAUUUUAUUUGGUAUGACCGAACCAUAAGGCUGCCUACAUAUCUUGUGGUGACAAGAAUCAAGUCAAACUUAGUUCACAAAGAUACGUUUUGUUACUAUUUUCCUUUUUUUUUCUUCUUUUUUUCCUUUUUUUUUUCUUUAUCUCUAUUUUUUCUCUUUUUUUUUUGAAUUUUCCUUCUAGAAUAAACUUUCCAAAAUAAACCUAUGGUGACAUGAACUUUUUUUUCGUAUGACUCUAACUUGAUUCCAAAAGAGGGGAGGUCAAAGAAAUCAGUACAGACUCAAAAGGGGAUCAAAGGGUACAAGUGUUUGGGUAGCUGAAAGAGGGUCUCCCAAUCUCUAAGAACACCAAGUAUAACACAUGCAAUUUGAAAAUAAAAAAUGAAGAUCACACAUAACAUUUCUUUUACAGCUUUGACAUUGAUAUCAUUGAUUUGCUUUUCACUUUUUUUUAGUGCUUUGUCAAGUACAGAACUCUCAUUAGGUAAUUUCUUCUUUACAAUGGAUACCCUCCGUCAAUUUAGAGCAAACUCCCUUGGCUUUAUCUUGUUACUUGAGGUGCACUUGAACUCAAAAUUGCUCGCUUCAAAUUGUCUGGGAUGCACUCUCCUUUAACGAAUUCUUGUCAUCCUAUUAACUUUCAAAAUUAUCUGCCCCAGUUUCACAUAGUUUGGGCUUCAAAUGAUCUCAAAAUGCCUUUACUUAUUUCCCUCAAAUGUCCUUAUCAUCUUCAAAAUUGUUUUAUUGCUUCAUGAUUAAACUAACUUUUAAGACCAAGCCUAGAAUUAUGCGUGCAUGUUGUUUCACUAGAGCCAACAAGAAAUGAACUAUAAAAGGAAAAGAGAACUAAGCAAAAAUUACUAGAAAUAAUAGAAAACAGAGAAUUGCAUUAGACAGAUGGUGAAAGGGUUUGAAUAACAAAACAAACAAAACACAUUGGGGCUACGACCCUAGAAAAACCUAAAUAACACUAAAAGGGGUACUAGGACUAAAUGAACUAGGCAAAUAAAAUGAUAGAAGGGUUUGAGUCACAAGAUAAUAUCCGGAUUACAACCCUGAAAUAACCCAGACAACAGAAAUAACAUCAAAAUGAACCACCAAGACUCCUCCCUGGCUAGCCAAGAGAGGAGCGUCUUUCUAAUUACCAAGCUCGGCAUCUUAGCCACUGAGUUCCCCAUCAAUAUCACUAGGACCUUCACCAACUUCAAUCACAUUGUCUUCACCAAGUGGCUCAUUGACUCCUUUGACCAACCCUUCAUCAUUGCAAACCAUUCCAACAAUUUGUGCGUCAUCAUGUACCUGUAGAGGAUUAUGUGUGACAAUUGGGGUAUUACUGUCUUGGACCACAAUUAUUACUUCUUGAAUCAUUCUUUCUAUUUCCCUUUUCAAAGCAUGACAAUCUUCAACAUUGUGACCCUAGGCGUUGGAAUGGUAUUCACACCUUUAAGCAGGGUCAAAGCUUCUCGCACGUGGGUCUAUAUAAUUUAGAGGAAUAUGCGCAAUCAUGUCGUAAUGCUUUAAUUUCUCAAACAAGAUUGCAUAGAACCCUCCUAUUCGUGUAAAAUUAUCUUUCAACCUUUGUUCCCUUCUACACCCUUGGCUUAAAUGUGGGUUAUAGGGCAUUUGAAAAUUUUGUGGAGGCUGGUGAAGCUUUUGCGGUGCUCGUGCUCGCCUUGUUAGAGUGACCCAGUGGUUGGACAGGUGGUCGGACGUUGUUCGGAGGAUAAUACUGGGUGGAUUAUGUGGAGCUCGUGGAUAUUCAUGGGGUCGGUAUUGAGGUUGAAAGUGUUUAGCAGGCAUGCCCACUGGAUCAUGUCGUUGGCGGGACUCAGCAACAUCUUUUCUAUCAAUGGGAGGAUUGUCCCAAGCAAUUUGUUUGUUCCAUCUGAACCAAAAUUCCCUAAAACUUGGGUUUCUUUUCCAUCUGAGAUAGGGAGGAGAGGUCUGGGACAAUGUCUAUAUUGUACUGAAAGUGUCGCAGAAAAUCUUGAGUAAUGUCAUUCCAUGUAUGCCACUUACCGACAUCUUGACGAAUAUGCCAUUCCAAAGCUGCCCCAGUCAGGCUCUCACUGAAAUACGCCAUCAACAACUCAUCUUUCCUGCCAACACUUCUCAUUCUACUGCAAUAAUCCCUUAGAUGGGCUACUGGAUCUCCACGCCCAUCAUCCAAAUUAAACUUUGGCAUCUUAAAACCUUUUAGCUUUCUGGAUAUCUCAUCUUGCUCCACUGUUUUAGCAGGCUUUGCAGUCUCACCGGGAGGCUCAAAAUAAGGAGCGUAAGAGUAUGGACCCGAGACCUUGAAAAUUGGUUAUGGAGCAUAGUGUUGGACAUCGGGAAUUUUGAACACAGUCUCGCUAGAGGAUCGAGGAAAGGAAGCAGGUGGAUGAGAUACAAAAACAUGAGUGGUCAAAGGAGCAGGAUAUAAGGUGGUUCUGGGGGGGUGGAGUGUGAAAAGGUUGUGGGGAGAUAUCCUGGACUUGUGACAGUGGCGGAAUGGUGACAAGGCGUUCAGUGUAGUUAGUGGAAACUGAUGGUGGAGGACGCCCACUAAUCCAGGCUUGGUAUAUUUCGGCCAUUUAUCCUUUCAACCUUAAGACCUCUUCUUUCAACUCAGAUUCUGAUUCAACAAUUCCCUUAGACGGAUCAAUAACCCCUGUGUCCAAGUCUUUGCUAGCCAUGGCUACCUUACUUUUUGACCUUGUGUUGUAUGGAUGAGUUACUUAAGAACCACAAACCAACCACCCUUCUGCUUAAUGAAGAUAACAAAAGGAACAAAAUGGGGUCACCCUAUUAGCAUUAGGGCAAUUAACAUCUAAAAAUAUCACAUUGCUUGCAAUGCACCUAACAACAAUUAACGGUUCUAGCAUGACUUCGAGGGUCACAAGUUCACUUGGCAUCAUCCCAAUUUUGUUCAUUUCAAACAUCUCUUUUCUUUCUUUUCUAGCACUUUUUAGCUUGCUCAUUUUCCUUUCUCUUUUUUUUUUCUAAUUGUCACUCUUUUCUCUCCUCUUAUUUCUCACAUCCCAUAAUGUCAUCUUUCUUUUUUUUCUUUUUUUUUUAAAACUAAAAAAAAUGAUUCGAUCGGACCCUAUGUAGGUUGCCUACGUAUCAUGACACCGCAUGAAUCAGAUCUUUGCAUAGUUCGAGAAGAUUGAAAAUAAAGUAAACAAACUAUCAUUCUCAAUUUCUUUUUUUCUUUUUUUUACCUUAAUGAAUACUUUGAUGAGAAAAGAGAAAUAAAAGAAGCAAAUCCUUUUUUUUUGAAUUUUUCUAGACUUAAUAUUCUAUAACUUAUUCUAAACUCAAAGCUUAACGAGCAUAUAUUUUUUCUUUUUGAAACAAAUACUCUAUGGGAAAUUAUUAAGGAAAAAACUCUAGAAGAGAAAAAUAUUUUUUGAUUCUUUUUUUAUGAAGAAAAUCUAAAGAAUAAACCAAAGAAAAAUAUACUAAAGGAAGUAUAAAAGCAAUUUUAUUUUGAGUUCUAGAUAUUAAUUUUCUAAAGGAAAAGCUACCUCAAAAUUAAUUUUUUUUUUUAAUUUCUAGGACUAGUAUUUCUAAAGAAAAUUCUAACGGAAAUAUAAAAACGCAAAAUAUUUUCUUUUUUUUUUGGAUUUUAGAUCUAUAAUACAUUUUUCAAAUACUAAAAAAGGAAGUACAAUAGCAAAAGACUCGACAUUACUGUACAAAAUUAGAAGGUAAAAAACGACAUAAAAAGAAAAACACACUCAAAAUAUAAAAAGAAAAUCUCCUUAAGCAACUCCUGAAUGAGCGAUCCUGACUAGAUGGUCCCGGGGUGUCUGUCAUGCUCAAACUCCGGUAAGUAGACCCACACCUGUAUGAGAAAUUAAGACCAAAUAAAGCUAAAGACCUAUAACGCUAUGUGAGACAAUAACCCUUCCUGUUAGACACAUGCAAGACAUGAUUGUGACUAUUUUUCUAAAUUAACCUAUGUGGCUAAAAGUGGCUAAAAAUGCAAGAUUUGGCUAAUACCUCGCGAAGCCAAGAACCUAAGAUUUACUAGGAAGACCGGAUCCUAUGUGGGUUGCUUACGUAUAAAGCACCGAAAGACGAGAAUCAGAUAUGCGUAGUUCGGGCAGAUUGGAUACGGGCGAGAAUUAAAAAAAUAACUAAUUUAGAGAAAAUAUAUUUUUUGUCUUUUUUUUUUGAGAAACAUAUCAACUCUUUUUGGAUUUUUUUCUUUUUUUUUUCUUCGAAAAAUGAUAGGAAAGUGCAAAAACCUUUUUGGGAUUUUCAUUCAUUUUUCUUUUUCUAAAAUAAUUGUGAAAGAAAAACAUAACUGGGCCCUACUUGCUUUAUUUACACACUUCAUCCUCUUUUCUCUCUCAUUUAUCCUCAGCCAUCGUUGGUCCACCAAAUGAUCCUUUUACCCUUGAAGAAAUGCAACAUGUAGCACAUAUGAUGCAUCACGAUAAUCUUUUAUUUUUGGAUACACCUGUCCUAGACAGACCCAACCCCUGUGUUGAGUCCCCUAAGUCAAAUGCACGUGAUGCAACAAACGUUCUACUAGGGAUCCGACAUGAGGUUAUGUUAUUUUAAGUUUAAACCUGGGGUUGUGUUCUUGACCUGGCUUACCCGAGCGGACAACCCGAGCCAAAGAGGGGGCAACGUACCGGGAGCACUAAAGUCUACCCGGCCUUGUUGUUGGCCCAGCCUCGUUCUUUUGGUAUGACUUCUACAGAAAAAGCAGGUCACGCAAACGUAUGCACCAUUUACAGACGACUCAGAGGGGUGGCGUAAGAAAACAAUUAUAUACAAUUCAAAUAAUAUCAAAGCGGUAAAUAGACGGCAAUUAACACAUUAGGUCCACAAAAUACAGUAAUAUCAACAAUAAUAAAGCCAAGUAUAGAUCAUAUUAACAAGCCCGAAUUCUUGAACCCUGAACCAGAAGUUCUGGGUUCUUAUCCCCAGCAGAGUCGCUAGAGCUAUCACACCUCCUUAUUCUACCUCCGGAGGGGUAUAGGGGAGUUUUUUUCAAUUUAAGUGACAAUCAAAACGGGACAAUUUAUGGUGUCCCAAGUCACCAGUUUAAAAUCCUGAAUCGAGGAAGUUUGACUCUUAUGUAUGGUCUGCGAACAUAGAAAUUCGAGUAAGGAAUUCUGUUAACCCGAGAGAAGGUGUUAGGUAUUUUCGGGUUCCGUGGUUCUAGAACGGUCGCUUAACUAUUAAUAAUUGUCCUAGUUAUCUGAUUAUUAAAUAUAUAAGACCUAUGUGCAUUUUAUUCCUUUUUAACUGCUUUUGAUUAUUUAGGAAAAUUCAAGAUCAUCCUACACUUGUUUGUUUUUGAAAACACAUCGUAAACCACGCUACAUAAAAUGCGCCCGCGGUUCACGGCAUGUUUAUUUUAUUAUUAUUAGUCAUGGUCGGGUCACAUGAAAUGCACAUCCAGAUUUGAAAAUUAUGUAUCACAGCUACGUCACGGGAACCAUACCCGUAGCUGGAAUAACUUUAUUAUAGCGCGCCUAAAGCAAACUACGAAUGUUCAAAGUUAAUUAUUUCCUAAUGUUUGAAAUUAUUGUUGGUGGCCCAAGAGUUAUGGAAGUCAAUUAUCCCGUACAUCACUAAUCUAAACAUUACAAUAACUAAUCUUAUAAGCCAACGAGAUCACCCAAGCUUACUGCCCAGUAAAGUUUCUUCACAUUGUAACAAUAUGUUCUACCUUCAUGCCUAACUCCCACCAAAACUGACCGAGAAUCAUUCACUCUACAAGACUCAACUUUAAAGACAUGCCUUCAUUUACACAUAUUUCAAUUUAUGAGCAUAUACCAACCAAGGAGUGCAAAGAUUCAAACAAAUUCAAUACCUUACCAUCAUGGGAUUUAGUAAUCGGCAAAGAUUCUUUGGUCCAGAGUCCAGGUGAGACUUGACUAACACAAAUGAUUUUAACAUAAUCCUAAGAAUUGGCGUCGAGUCACAACACUAACACAUGUGCUAUUGACCAAAGUUAAUACAAAUGCGCAUUUUAGAUUAGGAGAGGCAAUCAAACAGGUUUGGAUAGAUGCAUUUCCUCAUCAAUUAUAUAACUUGAAACUAACUUUCAGGUUUAAUAAAAUUAACAAUUCAAGCACGUAGGAUUCACAUCGAGCGGUUAAUGUUCACAAUCAACUCUAAGCUUUUAACAAAGGAAUUCCAACACCAAUUGUUUCUCGCCUUUACCGGUGCAACUCCAAAUCACAAACAGAAAACAAGACUAAACUAAUCAAGUUGAGAAGAGAUACUAACAUAUUCUAUUCAAGGAAAGAAAACGAUCAAAUAGGACUAUUAGUUGGCACAAGGACACAAACAGAGCAAGGAGAAGCAACGACUCUAGAGUAUCAUGCACGUAGACUAGAUCAUCAAUAGGGAGAAAACACCACUUAUUUCUAGCACUCUUUCGAGCUCCAGCUGAGAAGAGUAAACUAAAUAUUCAUAAAAGAUUACAAAAGGGCAUAUCACUAGAAUGAGAUUCAGCUAAUUGUUUCACAACUAACCAAGCUUCAUCCAAACAAAGCAAAAGUAAUGGAAAAACUACAAGUAUUAAAGAAUAAAAGGCGUCACAGAUUAAUACUUUAUUAGCAGCUAUACAGUUCAUCAAAUGCAACUUAUCACAUCGACAUCACAUAAAUCUCAGCUCAAUCAAGACUUAAUCUCUUAAUUAGAUUCAAAAAUCUGUUUGCAGCCCCUUACAAAUUAAUAUUUGACUAAGCUUGUUACGAUUGUGAAUCUGUUAACACCUCGCUAAGCAACUCCAAAACCGAAAAUCCCUUUAUCCUAGGCUCAAAUCAUGUUUUAACCCAUCUAAAAUAAAGUAUUAAAUGAGAAGAAAUAAACCUGAAUGCUCAAAACAUCAAUUAAUUCUAGGAGUAGAAUAUAAGAAAAUUCGGCAGCGAAAAUCCAAAGCAAUCGGCAGCCAAGAAACAGAAACUAGUAGCCACGAACGAGCCUCGAUCGGAACUCGAGUCGACAAACGACUCAAUCGAACUCCAUACUUGACACCCAAAAUCCAGAGUAAAAUAAAUGAAGAAGUAAAGGCGCAGGAGAAAUUGAACAACUAUAUCUUUUUUGUAUUUUUUUUUCUAGAAUGGAAACUAAACUAAAAAAAUCCGAAAAAUGAAGAGAAGAAAUCCUCUGUCUGACACCCUAAUAUUCUCCAAAUUUUUUGUUCUCCCAAAAUUCUGUUUCAAUUUUUGUUUUAUAUCAAUCAACUCGAACAAAAGAAAUCAGGAGAAAACAAAAAUAGAAAUCAGAAAUUUUACUCCUUAGAACCCUAGAACUUUUCUUUCCAAAAUUUUCCCUAAACAAAAAUCCUCUCCCAAAUUUCUAAAUUUUUUCUCUGAAAAUCCUCUCCCAAAGAUUUUGUUCCUCUCUUAAAAUAUCAUCUCUCUUAUAUAGGCCUUAGAAAUCUCGAACCUUCUAUGCUUCCCUCCCAAGAAAUCUCCAAAAAAAUCCCAAAAGCCAAAUCCAAUUUUUAUCCCCUUUUUGAUGGAUAAAACGGACAAAUGGAGGGAGUGGAUCCAAUUUCACUCAAUUCAACACCUUUCAUUUUUUCCAAAAUCCAUCUUAAAAGAGUAAAAAUUCGAAAAAAAACAAACAAAGAGGGCAUGUGAGGGGGAGGGAAUCUGUUAAGAACGGUUAAGCCACAUUGGAGAGAUGCAAGGAUGGACCAGCCAACUCGGCGAGUUGAAGCACCCGAUUUUGGGCGUAAUUUGGCGAGUUGAAGUGAGGCAGAAUCGGCAUGGAUGAUGGGCGCCGCUUUUCUGUAUUUGUCUCUAGGGUUAGAUGUAUUGUUUUGUUAGAGAUAUGUUAGGUUUUUAUAUGGAGAAAUGGGGCGGGUAAGAGAU
This 11634-nucleotide long non-coding RNA is filed under the name Nicotiana tabacum (common tobacco). RNAcentral's name for it is "long non-coding RNA (NTAB_LNC003283)". The record is from RNAcentral. Lineage: Eukaryota; Viridiplantae; Streptophyta; Magnoliopsida; Solanales; Solanaceae.